AAGUUAACCUUAAUAAGAAAAAAAACAUUUGAAAAUUGUGCAAUCAAACAUAAUUGACAUUUCCUUUUGGUGAAAUUAAAUUUUUCCCGCUAACGUGUAGCUAAGUUCUAUUAAUCUAUCAACUUUUGCCCUUAAAUGGAAGGGAUGAACACCUUGCUAAUCGCAUGGAGGAUCACCACGCUUAUGGGAAAUUUGCAUGUAGUAUGAUAGGGAUACGUGUGUUACAGAUUACAGUUUUCUGAUUUCUAGGUCAAAGAAGUGUUUCAUGGAGAAAUCUGAUAAAUGCACACAUCAUCCUUGUGGGAUUGACGGCAAAAAGACUAAAGCUUGAGGGAGGUCACUUGCCAAAGGUUCAGCUUUAGAUUGUGGCUUGUUAAGAGGUUGUGGUUAUUGGAUGAGGAGGUGGUUGUGUCCUUUGUGAAGUGGCUUUCCAAUCUUCUGUUGAGAAGAUAGACAUCAGUGAAAUUGACAAGAUGGUCAUUGGCGUAGGUCACUUAAACUUUUUAUCUUUAUUUUCACUUAACAAUACUUUCCUCAUUCUAUUUUAUUUCUUUAGAUAUUACACAUUUAACCUAAACUACCACACUGUGUUUUGCUAGAUUCUCUUGAUCUUAAAUUUUGAGAUUUUCAAGCAUUGUACUUGAACCUAUUGAGUGUUACUAUAUGAAAUUGUGUUUAAAUCCUUA
Olea europaea var. sylvestris is the source of this 686-nucleotide long non-coding RNA. RefSeq lists it as uncharacterized. Lineage: Eukaryota; Viridiplantae; Streptophyta; Magnoliopsida; Lamiales; Oleaceae. The record is from RefSeq and is a predicted model, not a curated record. The transcript has 2 exons.